Mauremys reevesii (Reeves's turtle) is the source of this 380-nucleotide long non-coding RNA. RefSeq lists it as uncharacterized. The record is from RefSeq and is a predicted model, not a curated record. The transcript is spliced from 3 exons. NCBI's taxonomy places the organism in Eukaryota, Metazoa, Chordata, Testudines, Geoemydidae.
GGGAUGCUGCCAGCUCCUGAGGAGGGACAGCCUGCGCUCCAGGAUCUGGAAGCCAGCCAAGGUGGGAUGUGUCCCCUGUAGCGUCGUGCUCCAUCAGGAACAGCCCAGAGGACCCCUCGACAUUGAAAGACCGGAGGUUCUGCUAUUGGACAGAAAUGAGAAAGAAGAGUCUAAGAUGACCAUACUGAUUCCCCACCCACCAAUUACUGAGCAGAAUGAGUUUGAAGGCCAAAAUAUACUACUUUUGCAUCUGCUGAGAACAGCUGAAUGAAGCAGUGCCAGAAGCUGAUCCUGCACACGAAGAGUGGAAAGCUGUUUUGCAACAUCUCCUGUAAUCAUAUUUGGAAAGGAUCAACUGAGAAGCAUUGGAAAUUGAUGUC